GAUGAACGCUGGCGGCGUGCCUAAUACAUGCAAGUCGAGCGAACAGACGAGGAGCUUGCUCCUCUGACGUUAGCGGCGGACGGGUGAGUAACACGUGGAUAACCUACCUAUAAGACUGGGAUAACUUCGGGAAACCGGAGCUAAUACCGGAUAAUAUAUUGAACCGCAUGGUUCAAUAGUGAAAGACGGUUUUGCUGUCACUUAUAGAUGGAUCCGCGCGCAUUAGCUAGUUGGUAAGGUAACGGCUUACCAAGGCAACGAUGCGUAGCCGACCUGAGAGGGUGAUCGGCCACACUGGAACUGAGACACGGUCCAGACUCCUACGGGAGGCAGCAGUAGGGAAUCUUCCGCAAUGGGCGAAAGCUUGACGGAGCAACGCCGCGUGAGUGAUGAAGGUCUUCGGAUCGUAAAACUCUGUUAUUAGGGAAGAACAAAUGUGUAAGUAACUAUGCACGUCUUGACGGUACCUAAUCAGAAAGCCACGGCUAACUACGUG
This 496-nucleotide ribosomal RNA is filed under the name uncultured bacterium. RNAcentral describes it as "partial 16S ribosomal RNA". It matches the Rfam family "Bacterial small subunit ribosomal RNA", at positions 28 to 507 of the family's 1533-position model. The record is from RNAcentral.